CCUACGGGAGGCAGCAGUGAGGAAUAUUGGGCAAUGGGCGCGAGCCUGAACCAGCCAAGUCGCGUGAGGGAAGACGGUCCUAUGGAUUGUAAACCUCUUUUGUCGGGGAGAAAAAGACGCCACGCGUGGCGUUCCGAGAGUAACCGAAGAAAAAGCAUCGGCUAACUCUGUGCCAGCAGCCGCGGUAAUACGGAGGAUGCGAGCGUUCACCGGAUUUAUUGGGGUUAAAGGGUGCGCAGGCGGAAGGUUAAGUCAGCGGUAAAAGGGAGAGGCUCAACCUCUUCGGGCCUUUGCAACUGGUUUUCUUGAGUGAGCGAGAGGUAUGCGGAAUGCGUGGUGUAGCGGUGAAAUGCGUAGAUAUCACGCAGAACUCCGGUUGCGAAGGCAGCAUACCGGCGCUCAACUGACGCUCAUGCACGAAAGUGUGGGUAUCGAACAGGAUUAGAUACCCCAGUAGUC
This 459-nucleotide ribosomal RNA is filed under the name uncultured bacterium. RNAcentral describes it as "partial 16S ribosomal RNA". It matches the Rfam family "Bacterial small subunit ribosomal RNA", at positions 338 to 795 of the family's 1533-position model. The record is from RNAcentral.